Numida meleagris (helmeted guineafowl) is the source of this 1545-nucleotide long non-coding RNA. RefSeq lists it as uncharacterized. Lineage: Eukaryota; Metazoa; Chordata; Aves; Galliformes; Numididae. The transcript has 5 exons. The record is from RefSeq and is a predicted model, not a curated record.
CUGGGAGCACAGGUGCAAGCAAUUGCCUGUGCAAUUCCUAACCUCAUUUAAGGGCUGGCAGCCAAAGGGGGAGCAUCUUUAUUUGAAGGCUUCUUCCUCUGGGAGUUUUUCAGUGAGCCCUUUUCCUUGGAAACAGAUAGACCAGCCCUGGUAAACAGAAAGUCAGGGAGUGUGUGAUGAGGAGUGGCUACCAGUAAAGGAGGUGAGAGUUGAUGGGAGGGCCUUUGAUACCUUGAUGAAGUCCUGGGUUGAAGACACCAGUCUAGAAAACUGCCUGAGGCAUGUGGGGAGAAGCAUAAAGAUGCUGAGGAUCUGGAGGGGCUUGUGCACUACAGAGCCUGAAGCUGAGCGAGUUAGGUGACGUUUAUCUUGAAAUGCUGACCUUUGAGUAAAAGAAGGUGGGCUUGCACAUAUCUUUUGUGAUGAAGAGAUGAUAGUUAACUGAGAAAAGUGGCUUUCCUGGAGUGAUUUUCUGUCGGUUGUUUCCCCGCCUGCCACAGAAAAGGGAAAAGUAACUUAUGGUAACAUUUAUGCAAGGAAGAAUCUCCGGGCUAAAUUAUUUACCAAGUGUCCAGAUACUGGAUAGAGGUAUUUUUGUUUGGGGUUGCUUGGUUUUGUCUUAAGCCAAUGCCUUUCUGCAAUAGGCAGAAUUCUUUGAGUAUGUGUUUCUAAAUUUAUUUCCAUGUUUAUGAAUUUGAAAUGCUUGUUUUCCUUUCAAAUGCUUAGCUUCUAUGAAAAAAAAAAUCCUUCUAUAAACACUAAUUUGCAGAUUUUUGUACUUAAAUGUGAUGAAAAUGGCUGCAGAGAUGGCCAAAGAAAUGUAUCUUUUUCUUUUAUGAAUAAUCAUGCAGAAUUAUUUGACCAGCCCAGACAGACAUUGUUUUUCCUUGUUUUACUUUGUAGCUCUUGAAAUUAGUUUCAUUGUUUGCUGCAUUCCUGCUGACUCUAGAAUUUCCUAACAUGGAAACAGGAGAGAAGGAAAGGAGUGUAGAAAGUUAAUGCAUGCUUUUAUCUGAAAAUAUAUUGUGAAAAUAGGCUUCUUGUGAAGUACAGCAUUCAAACAAGAACUCUGGACCUGUCAGCCACCUGUGUCAGGACUUCCCUUUCCUAGAUCUCAUUUUAUUAAUUUUCCUUGAUGUGAAAUAAGAAACUGAACAUAAUUUUCAUAUAGUGUUCAGUAUCAUGAUUUUAUGUAAAAGCAUUACAUUUUCAGUUCUCUUAUUCCUUCUUAAUGAGCCUAUUUCAGGUAAGCACUGAACAGGAGCCCCUUAGUGAGCUGCAGAGUGAUAGCCUGCAAAUCUUUUCACUGAAAUGUGACGUGUUGAUCAGAAAUUAUAGGUACAUGUUGUUUUUUUUCUUCCCCUUACUACUUUGUCUCCAUUUUAAUUUUUCACUACCCUUGUUUAUUUUGGCUUUCUCCAUAACCCUACUAUGACCUGUGUCAUCAGUAUGGCAUUUUCUUUCCCUGCCUCAUGUCUCUCCUCUGUUUACUUCACAGAACUGAACUAGACUAAUAUUGAUCUGAACAUCUGUUCACAGCUAUGU